CGGUAAUACGUAGGGUGCGAGCGUUAAUCGGAAUUACUGGGCGUAAAGCGUGCGCAGGCGGUUUUGUAAGACAGAUGUGAAAUCCCCGGGCUUAACCUGGGAACUGCAUUUGUGACUGCAAGGCUAGAGUACGGCAGAGGGGGGUAGAAUUCCACGUGUAGCAGUGAAAUGCGUAGAUAUGUGGAGGAAUACCGAUGGCGAAGGCAGCCCCCUGGGUCGAUACUGACGCUCAUGCACGAAAGCGUGGGGAGCAAACAGGAUUAGAUACCCUGGUAGUCCACGCCCUAAACGAUGUCAACUAGGUGUUGGGGGAGGAGACUCUCUUAGUACCGCAGCUAACGCGUGAAGUUGACCGCCUGGGGAGUACGGCCGCAAGGUUGAA
This 382-nucleotide ribosomal RNA is filed under the name uncultured bacterium. RNAcentral describes it as "bacterial SSU rRNA". It matches the Rfam family "Bacterial small subunit ribosomal RNA", at positions 518 to 898 of the family's 1533-position model. The record is from RNAcentral.